CAAUAGCGUAUAUUUAAGUUGCUGCAGUUAAAAAGCUCGUAGUUGGAUUUCGGGUGGGAAUGGCCGGUCCGCCGUUUCGGUGUGCACUUGCUACGCCCACCUUGCUGCCGGGGACGUGCUCUUGAGUUCACGCUCGGGACACGGAGUCGGCGAGGUUACUUUGAGUAAAUUAGAGUGUUCAAAGCAGGCCUACGCUCUGAAUACAUUAGCAUGGAAUAACACGAUAGGACUCUGGCCUAUCUUGUUGGUCUGUAGGACCGGAGUAAUGAUUAAGAGGGACAGUCGGGGGCAUUCGUGUUUCAUUGUCAGAGGUGAAAUUCUUGGAUUUAUGAAAGACGAACUACUGCGAAAGCAUUUGCCAAGGAUGUUUUCAUUAA
RNAcentral lists this ribosomal RNA (377 nucleotides) under uncultured eukaryote. RNAcentral describes it as "partial 18S ribosomal RNA". It matches the Rfam family "Eukaryotic small subunit ribosomal RNA", at positions 592 to 976 of the family's 1831-position model. The record is from RNAcentral.